GUCUUUUCCUUCAACAACAAUAUUCCAUGGUCAUACAAAUUAAAUAAAUGAAGAAAUGAUUUCUAAAAAUUGAUGUAUAAGUGAAUGCUAUUUGAUCCAUUAUAACCUUAUCCCACUUCAGGGAUGUUCUUUGGCACCUAAAUUUUAAGUUUCAUAAGAAUGGUAAUUAUUUUGGCACCACUUUUAGAGGUAUUGAGUUUGAAAUCUAUACCAGCCUUCUUUUGACAUAAU
RNAcentral lists this unclassified non-coding RNA (231 nucleotides) under Hevea brasiliensis (rubber tree). The record is from RNAcentral. Lineage: Eukaryota; Viridiplantae; Streptophyta; Magnoliopsida; Malpighiales; Euphorbiaceae.